Chelonus insularis is the source of this 636-nucleotide long non-coding RNA. RefSeq lists it as uncharacterized. Lineage: Eukaryota; Metazoa; Arthropoda; Insecta; Hymenoptera; Braconidae. The transcript is spliced from 3 exons. The record is from RefSeq and is a predicted model, not a curated record.
UUUCUUACUGAAAGAAAACCUUCAAUUUCUGUAAAUCCCGACUCUUGAUUUACUGUGUAUCAACAAAUAGCGUUAUAUAAGGCAACUUUGUACGGUCUUCCUACGAGAUAUGUGUCAAUGACGUUUUAUAAGAUGAUCGUUGGAGGAGAAAAUAUUUAUUCAACACCAGAUGAGAAGACAUAAUGAAGCAAUUACUCCAGUAGAUGUGGUUAAAGUUCAAGAUAUAACUCAAGAGAGAGGUCUGAUUGAAGUUACUCAGUUGGAGAUGAAGUAUAAAUAAAUGAAAAAAAAGUAUUUAAAAAAAGAUAUUUCUAUUAGAGUAAAUGAAGAUGAUUUAUGACUAAUUUUAGACUGAAGAUAUCAUUAGUUUAAUAGCACUCAGAGACACUUGAUGACACGUACAUGAUCGGCAAUGUUCGUAGAGGGGUUAGCAGGACAGUACAAUUAUUUCAAGACACCUAUCUACCCCAGUAUUGUGCUUUGAAUAUCGAAUCAAUUGCACAGCGUUAUUAUUAAUGGAACAAAAAGCAAAACAGAUCUCUAGAUCAUAUUCUUGCACAAAGCUUCACUGAUAAAAAUUAUUUCAACACAACUCUACAAGACAUGUACAAUAUUAAUAAAUAAAAAAAUACCUAC